This 1041-nucleotide ribosomal RNA is filed under the name Triticum aestivum (bread wheat). Its description in RNAcentral is "partial small subunit ribosomal RNA". The record is from RNAcentral. Lineage: Eukaryota; Viridiplantae; Streptophyta; Magnoliopsida; Poales; Poaceae.
AUGGUCGAAGAAGGCAAGGAGAAGCAAGGAGCAGAGAGAGAAGACAAGAAAAACAUGGAUGCAGGCAAGGAGAAGCAAGGAGCAGGAACAGAUCAGAGGGCACAAAGCACUCACCAGGGGGGGCAAAAUAGCCAGCAGCAACAGUGGCUGAAUUCUGGUGCUUGGAACCAAGGGAUGCAACAUACACACCCCUGGAUGCAAAAUCGAAGGCUUCCACAUGCUUAUAUUAACAGAACACAAAGGAAUGCCCUGAAUAUUCCAGUGAGUGCAACUAUGUAUGGUAUCUUCAAUAGUCAAGGCAAUACACAGGCAAACUUGCCUGUGAACCUGGGUGCACAUACUUCAGUGGGUGAGUACAACCAAGUGUCUGCUGUGCUCCAACCCCCUGCAAACAAGGUCGCUUAUGAAGCCCCUAUGUCAUACAUGCAACUCCUACUUGCUGCUGAAGAAGAGGGUGCUAGAAAUGCAUCAUCUCAAUCACAAGAAGAUCGCCUUGUUCGUACUGAGAACGAUAUGUACAUGAUAACUGGGCGAUACAGUGUAUCUUCAGAAGAUCCAUUCCAAGCACAUGCGGGCGGUGGAGCUCAGCAUACAUCUGAAGUCGAUGACCAGCAUGAUAUAGAUCUUGAACCUUUUGUUGACAAUCGAUUUUCAGAAAGCUUGAAUGAUUUGAACUGGGACAAUGAAAUGCAGACAGAAGCAGGAGGAAACAAAAACGGCUCUAUGGUCUCAAAUGAGAUUGCUUCUGACAAUGAUUCUGAUUCCGAGGAUGAUCUUUCUUCGUCGUUGUUGCAAAAGGCCUCUGAAAUUGCUGUUACAACUGCUGGAGAACAAGAGAACAGUGGUACAGCUGGUGAAGUUCAAAAAUUAACACAGGAAGACAUACUGAUAUUCCUUGAAAAUGACAGUAUAGAAGCUGCUCAAAGUGCUAGCCAAGAAGUGCGCAGCCAUCACGUACCCCAUGUGGACAUGGUCUUUGAUACGGAUGAUGCAGCUUACAACUUUUACAAUGAGUAUGCCUCAAUUGCUGGUUUUCUGUGA